AGUGAACGCUGGCGGCGUGCUUAACACAUGCAAGUCGAACGAGAACGGAUUAUAGCUUGCUAUAAUUGUCAGCUAAGUGGCGCACGGGUGAGUAAUGUAUAGAUAACCUGCCCUCUAGAAAGGAAUAACAGUUGGAAACGACUGCUAAUGCCCUAUAUGCCUUUAAUACAUAAGUAUGCAAGGGAAACGCUUUAGUGCUAGAGGAUGGGUCUGUAUGGUAUCAGCUUGUUGGUGAGGUAAUGGCUCACCAAGGCUAUGACGCCUAACUGGUUUGAGAGGAUGAUCAGUCACACUGGAACUGAGACACGGUCCAGACUCCUACGGGAGGCAGCAGUGGGGAAUAUUGCACAAUGGACGAAAGUCUGAUGCAGCAACGCCGCGUGGAGGAUGACACAUUUCGGUGCGUAAACUCCUUUUAUAUAGGAAGAUAAUGACGGUACUAUAUGAAUAAGCACCGGCUAACUCCGUGCCAGCCGCCGCGGUAA
This 485-nucleotide ribosomal RNA is filed under the name uncultured bacterium. RNAcentral describes it as "partial 16S ribosomal RNA". It matches the Rfam family "Bacterial small subunit ribosomal RNA", at positions 29 to 523 of the family's 1533-position model. The record is from RNAcentral.